GCGCUCCGUCAGUGCGGAGUUUUUGGGGAGGCGGCACUGAGUCAGACCAGUACUCGUGUGCCGGCUGUGAGAGGCCCCCAGACCCGGGACCAGGGCGUGGCCUGGGCAGACCUCCAGCCCUGCGGGUUUUGUGUGACUGCUGCAUUCAGUUCUCAGUCCUCUUUUGUCUUCAAAACCUGAGCCGUUUGGAUGGUGCCUGGAGGGAAGUGGGGAUCCGCUGACCCCGAGAGGAGAGCGUGUCCAGGGGCGCGUGGACCUCAGCCACCUGCUGAGUUUCAGGGAGUUACUUUCACCCGUUCCCACCUCUCUGAGGGGUGGGCGGGUGCAGGACGGCUCUGCGUGGUUUUCAGGUGUUUUCAUCUGGAUGCACAUCGGUGGGCGUUCCGCAGGCAGAUCAACUGAUGAAGCUUUUCAUCAUAACGAUAAUGUCGGCAACCGCAAACUACUGGAGUCUGCGAAGUGCUGUGCACGUUACCCUGGAGGCCUGGCAGCAGGGUUGGGGGCUGUCAGCUGUUUCACAGGAGUGCAGCAGGGAACCGGCCUUCUCUGCUCCAAUGAGGAGAUGGACACUGCGUCCUGACCAUCACUGCUGCCGGGAGCGAGAGACGGAAGCAAAAGGGGCAGCUGAAACCCACCUGCGCACUCACCCUCCACGUGGAAGGCGGCCGGGGCGACGCCCCAAGGCACCCAGAUUCGAAACUCACCUGUCGCAGCCGGGAGGCGGGAUUCCCGGAGUGGCUGGCUCCCCGCAUCUCUGCGGAGGCCUCCUGGGUGGGAGCGGGCCCUCCUCCUGGCUCCUCGCCUGGGCUGACACGAGCUGGUCCGUCCAGGGACCCCACGUGGGGCCCUGCUCCAUAGGCAGCAUCGACACCCCCGUGACCCUUUAGGAUCACACCGACCCCGUGCCCCACACUCACCCUGACUGCCGUGCUGCCAAUCACCAGCUCCCGCACCCGUCAGCCAGCGCCGUCUCCUCACUGAGUGUGGUCUUUGGACUGUGGUUAGCCUGGCUGUCUCCCCGAGGGGCUAUUUUCAGGGAUGGUUCCACAUGGGACCUUCCAAGGACCAUAGAGGAAAGUGUGUGUGGGCUUCCACUGGGGGACAAAUGUACACUUCCCGCAGUGAGGCUUCGCCUCAGUGGCUGUGGGCGGAAAGCCGCAAAGAGAGGGGCUGUAAAAUCAAAGUCCGGGUGGACGGGGCUGGCACGGCUGCUGUGCCGGCUCGUGGUCAGGUGGGGACCUGUGCCCCUGUUUCCAUGGCUCCACCGUCAUCAACCAGUGGGGCCACUUUUAGGUCAGGCUCCAGCCUGCCUAUCCCCCCAAGAAACCAACCAAUUACAAGGAAGAUGUGGGUACAGACCCCCCAUGCCACCAGCCUGGGGGUGCAGAGCCUCCCCUUGGCUCACAAGCCACGACCGGCCUCGUGGCCACACCGGUGCAGGGCAGCUGGGAGAUGACCCGUCCCAGGAGGCCAGGCCCCAGCUCGGUGUCGGGGACUCCACGGGAGCAGCAAGGGACGCGACGCUGGAUGCCUGGGGUCAGCCGCAGACACCCCCCGCGCCCCCGCCACCUAGAAAAGACCCCAUGACUGCAGCCUGGGCCGGGGCAGGUGUGGCCUUCAUUUGUGUGGUGUUCACUGGGGAGUCUGAGCGUUUUCUCAGCUCUUACACCAUGGCUUCCUCGUCUGAGUCUGCGUCUGGCCUGUCUUCCUGCUGUCUGUCCCCCUUGUAUUGUCCGAGCUUUUACGGUUUCUGGGUCAUGAGUCUCAUUGUUCUUUAUGCCCCCAGACUCCCUGGUCUGUGCACUUAGUCUGCCGUGUAACUGAGAAGCCCCGGACUUUGGGGCGGUCCACUUUAUCAGGCGUCCUAUUUGCUAUGCGUCUGUUUUUAGUGUCUGAGAGAAGACGGUCCUAACUCUCAAAGGUCGUAAACCCACUGCUUUAUCUUUGCUUCUGAUACACUUAUAGUUUUCCAACCUUCACAUCUUAAGGUUUUCGACAUUUGUCUUUGGGAUACAAUUUUUAUGCUUUUUUCCCCGAAAGGAAGAGUCAUUUUUCCAAAUAUUCUUGACCACAUGAGUGGCCUUUUCUCCGCGGGUCUGGAAGCCACCGCACAGGACAGCCUGACCCGCACGCGACCUGCUUCCUGGGUGUUUGGUUUGGCCUGAGCUGCUACCACACGCUUUCAUAAUGUUGCUUCCUUCCAAGCGGAAGCACUUCGAGUACUUCUGCGCCACUUCUGUUGUUGGCUCUUCUAUGUGAGUGGGGCCUGACUGUGUUGAAACUUUGAUUAGGAUCACAGUGAAUUCAUAGAAUUGGCACGUCACCCAACGUGUCCACACGCGAACGUGGGCUCGCCCUCUGGUUAGUUAAGCAUCUCUGUGUUUUGGGACUUAAUCUUUCUGUUGUGUUUUGCUAAUAUAUGGGGAAAAAAUUCAGACUCGAAGUUGAAGAGCCACUCCUGUUUUAUAAAUAAAGGGCCAAGUGCGUUUGACGGAAGUGAGAGU
Molecule: long non-coding RNA, 2504 nt
Organism: Bos indicus x Bos taurus (hybrid cattle)
Lineage: Eukaryota; Metazoa; Chordata; Mammalia; Artiodactyla; Bovidae
Source: Ensembl